Molecule: ribosomal RNA, 465 nt
Filed under: uncultured bacterium
Lineage: Bacteria
Description: partial 16S ribosomal RNA
Rfam family: Bacterial small subunit ribosomal RNA
Source: RNAcentral
CCUACGGGAGGCAGCAGUAGGGAAUCUUCCACAAUGGGCGAAAGCCUGAUGGAGCAACGCCGCGUGGGUGAAGAAGGUCUUCGGAUCGUAAAACCCUGUUGUUAGAGAAGAAAGUGCGUGAGAGUAACUGUUCACGUUUCGACGGUAUCUAACCAGAAAGCCACGGCUAACUACGUGCCAGCAGCCGCGGUAAUACGUAGGUGGCAAGCGUUAUCCGGAUUUGUUGGGCGUAAAGGGAGCGCAGGCGGUCUUUUAAGUCUGAUGUGAAAGCCUUCGGCUUAACCGGAGUAGUGCAUUGGAAACUGGGAGACUUGAGUGCGGAAGAGGAGAGUGGAACUCCAUGUGUAGCGGUGAAAUGCGUAGAUAUAUGGAAGAACACCAGUGGCGAAAGCGGCUCUCUGGUCUGUAACUGACGCUGAGGUUCGAAAGCGUGGGUAGCAAACAGGAUUAGAUACCCCAGUAGUC